This 301-nucleotide ribosomal RNA is filed under the name uncultured bacterium. RNAcentral's name for it is "partial 16S ribosomal RNA". It matches the Rfam family "Bacterial small subunit ribosomal RNA", at positions 509 to 809 of the family's 1533-position model. The record is from RNAcentral.
CAGUCGCCGCGGGAAUACGGAGGGUGCAAGCGUUAAUCGGAAUUACUGGGCGUAAAGCGCACGCAGGCGGUCUGACAAGUCAGAUGUGAAAUCCCCGGGCUUAACCUGGGAACUGCAUUUGAAACUGUCAGGCUGGAGUCUUGUAGAGGGGGGUGGAAUUCCAGGUGUAGCGGUGAAAUGCGUAGAGAUCUGGAGGAAUACCGGUGGCGAAGGCGGCCCCCUGGACAAAGACUGACGCUCAGGUGCGAAAGCGUGGGGAGCAAACAGGAUUAGAUACCCCUGUAGUCCCUGUCUCUUAUUU